Molecule: non-coding RNA, 1221 nt
Organism: Vicugna pacos (alpaca)
Lineage: Eukaryota; Metazoa; Chordata; Mammalia; Artiodactyla; Camelidae
Source: RefSeq, a predicted model, not a curated record
GGAGCCUCCCAAAAUAUCCACGGUCUUCCCUUCCAAUCAUCCCUUGCUGAUUGGUAAAGUCGUUCUACCAGCUUCUUUUCCAGGUCCUGCUUAGGCAGACUCGCUUUAUAUGUGGGAAACUGGGCAUGUUCAUCCUUCAAUCCUUUCUCCUCUGAACUGGAUCUGGCAGGAGCUCUUUGAUAAUUCUGACAUAUAAACGGCACCUUCCCCUGGUUUCACUGCAGACCUACAAUUUGUCACUGCAGCCCGGUGGCUGGUCCCUGUUCCUGGAAUGAUUUCACCCCAUUUGUUUGAAUAUGAAGCUCCUGUUCCUUCUCUGAAAGAACUGGCCUGCUGGCAGAAGGAAAAGCCUUCGAGACGGUGACGUGGGUCUUGAUGAAGAGAGCACCAGGAGCGCUUUGCCGCAGUCCCAGCCCUGACUCUUUCCAGGACUCCCCAUUGUCCACCCGGCCAGCGCAUCAGUGCUGCGGACAGCAGGUGGGCAGACAAAGGGCUGAGCUCUGCCAGCGCUGUGCUGGUAAAUGGGGAACGGCUGGCUCUCUUGGGCAGGAACAGAGAAGGUAUGCCCUGGUGGGUAGCGUCUGCCAAUUUUCAUGGCGUGAAUACUCCCAACCUGGCCAGCUUCAUGCUGCCAGUGGGACUUUGACUAGGGCAGUUGGGAGGGGUACAGGUUCAUGAGAAUGUGAUUCUGGAAAUUCUCUCUAAGGUCUGUAAGCCAGGUCAGCUUUACAGAACCUUUGCUUAACACAAAAGUAUCACCUACCCGACGAAACACAUGCCCCAUAGCAUUAAAUGCAAUGUGAAAAACACAAAUACAUAGUUACCUACAUUUCUCUAUCUCCCCCCACAUUAAAAGGAGAUUUUUGUUUUUCACUAACUCUUUUGGAUCAAUGUGUAACUCCCUUCUUCUUCCCCUGAAUAUGAUGACAGACCAAACUGUUUUGUAGGGAGUAGAAAUGGGAAAGCACCAAGAGGGGAAAACGAGGAGGUGAUGGAGCAUUGACAAGUCUGCGACACAGGAAAGAAGAGUAACAGUGUGGGCGUCACCACUGGCCACCAGCCCUGGGGUCUUGGGCUGGGCAGACAAGAGGUGGCCUGAAGCAGGAGCCCAAGAAGAUUCAUUUGCAGGCACACAAGGAGCCUCGUCUCCCCCACCCUGUCUUAUUUUUACAAAGUCAUUCAAAUAAAGAGAACUGAUAGUGGAGCUGUAGUUCUAAAUCU